RNAcentral lists this long non-coding RNA (200 nucleotides) under Capsicum annuum. RNAcentral's name for it is "long non-coding RNA (CANN_LNC000503)". Lineage: Eukaryota; Viridiplantae; Streptophyta; Magnoliopsida; Solanales; Solanaceae. The record is from RNAcentral.
CUCCCUCAGACUUGAGUAGAUCCUGGAUAAUGCUUUUGGCAGAUAUGGAGCGAGAGCACGUGCCUGACGGCCCAGAUUUUCAUCGCCUUGGUGAAGAUACUUAGCAUAAAUAUUAAUCAAGGUUUCACUGAGCUGAAGUACUUCUCCCCUGGCCUCGAUCAUACUUUCAUGGCAGUUUUGCACCCAAUGUUGCGUAGUGC